CGGUUUAAAAACAUGGUCAGCGGAUCUCGUCCUCGUCUGCUGGAGUCGAGGCUCGACAAGAAAAGCAUCCAGUCUUCAACCUACCCAGUCUUCUUGACGGUCUCCUGUUGUCGUAAGAAUUAUUACGAAUUCGCAAAGACGCUACAAUGUACAAGAUCGCUAUCGCCGUUAUACUAUUCGUCUUCUCUGUCUCGCUGGAGGUGUCAGGUCAAAUAGAUACACGUGACGUGAUGUCGGCUUUGAAGGACCCUGUGGUCCAGAGGGCGCUAAGCGCAAUCAAUACAGAGUUGCUGCGCAGUGAAAGAUUCUUGACAGAUCUCGCUGGUUGUGCAGGAUCUGCAGCAACGAAGUAUGUAGAAGAAUCUGGGAGAACUGCUCCCCCCAGUUCUACAGGAAAGGCUGCCCCCAGUCCAUUUGCACAAGCCGCCAUCAACGGUUCUGUCUGCAUGAUGAAAGCCGUCGGAAAAAAGGUUUUUGGGUCUACCAAGAACAUGUUGAACACGUUAGGAAAGUAGGGACCACGUGACCCAACAUGCCAGAGCUGCAAAGAGACUUCGCUUCAGCCUGGGCUUCCUGUGCCAGCCUCUUUGAGCCUCGGUUUGGCUGAAUCAUCGCCGACAGCAACGUUUGACUGAACAUUAAAAAGAGUUGAUGUCGGUCGCUGCAGAUGUUGUAUAAUUCGCACAAUAAAUGAUUGCUUUCAAUCUACA
Molecule: long non-coding RNA, 710 nt
Filed under: Pomacea canaliculata
Lineage: Eukaryota; Metazoa; Mollusca; Gastropoda; Architaenioglossa; Ampullariidae
Description: uncharacterized LOC112557187, transcript variant X1
Source: RNAcentral